This 253-nucleotide ribosomal RNA is filed under the name uncultured bacterium. RNAcentral describes it as "partial 16S ribosomal RNA". It matches the Rfam family "Bacterial small subunit ribosomal RNA", at positions 524 to 776 of the family's 1533-position model. The record is from RNAcentral.
UACGAAGGGGGCUAGCGUUGUUCGAAAUCACUGGGCGUAAAGCGCACGUAGGCGGAUCUUUAAGUCAGGGGUGAAAUCCCGAGGCUCAACCUCGGAACUGCCUUUGAUACUGGGGAUCUCGAGUCCGGGAGAGGUGAGUGGAACUGCGAGUGUAGAGGUGAAAUUCGUAGAUAUUCGCAAGAACACCAGUGGCGAAGGCGGCUCACUGGCCCGGAACUGACGCUGAGGUGCGAAAGCGUGGGGAGCAAACAGG